GGUUAGAUAAGCUAAACGCUAAGCUAGUGGGCUCAUACCCCGAAAAUGAGAUUUAUUCUCUCUAACCA
Molecule: transfer RNA, 68 nt
Filed under: Hyperhalosydna striata
Lineage: Eukaryota; Metazoa; Annelida; Polychaeta; Phyllodocida; Polynoidae
Description: tRNA-Met
Rfam family: tRNA
About the family: Transfer RNA (tRNA) molecules are approximately 80 nucleotides in length. Their secondary structure includes four short double-helical elements and three loops (D, anti-codon, and T loops). Further hydrogen bonds mediate the characteristic L-shaped molecular structure. tRNAs have two regions of fundamental functional importance: the anti-codon, which is responsible for specific mRNA codon recognition, and the 3' end, to which the tRNAs corresponding amino acid is attached (by aminoacyl-tRNA synthetases). tRNAs cope with the degeneracy of the genetic code in two manners: having more than one tRNA (with a specific anti-codon) for a particular amino acid; and 'wobble' base-pairing, i.e. permitting non-standard base-pairing at the 3rd anti-codon position.
Source: RNAcentral